Molecule: ribosomal RNA, 253 nt
Filed under: uncultured bacterium
Lineage: Bacteria
Description: partial 16S ribosomal RNA
Rfam family: Bacterial small subunit ribosomal RNA
Source: RNAcentral
UACGUAGGGUGCAAGCGUUAAUCGGAAUUACUGGGCGUAAAGCGUGCGCAGGCGGUUAUGUAAGACAGGUGUGAAAUCCCCGGGCUUAACCUGGGAACUGCAUUUGUGACUGCAUAGCUAGAGUACGGUAGAGGGGGAUGGAAUUCCGCGUGUAGCAGUGAAAUGUGUAGAUAUGCGGAGGAACACCGAUGGCGAAGGCAAUCCCCUGGGCCUGCACUGACGCUCAUGCACGAAGGCCAGGGGAGCAAACGGG